Molecule: transfer RNA, 42 nt
Filed under: Bavayia robusta
Lineage: Eukaryota; Metazoa; Chordata; Lepidosauria; Squamata; Diplodactylidae
Description: partial tRNA-Asn
Source: RNAcentral
UUGUUAACUAAAGGUUUACGGGAUCGAGCCCCUUCGAUCUAG